This 458-nucleotide ribosomal RNA is filed under the name uncultured Mycoplasma sp. Its description in RNAcentral is "bacterial SSU rRNA". It matches the Rfam family "Bacterial small subunit ribosomal RNA", at positions 56 to 513 of the family's 1533-position model. Lineage: Bacteria; Bacillati; Mycoplasmatota; Mollicutes; Mycoplasmatales; Mycoplasmataceae. The record is from RNAcentral.
UGCAUGUCGUGCGAAGCACUUGUGCUUAGCGGCGAAUGGGUGAGUAACACGUACUUAACCUACCCUCAAGUUUGGGACAACAGUUGGAAACGACUGCUAAUACCGAAUAUUCUAUUUUAUCGCAUGAUAUUAUAGUGAAAGGUCCGUUUGGACCGCUCGAGGAUGGGAGUGCGUUACAUUAGUUAGUUGGUAGGGUAAUGGCCUACCAAGACGAUGAUGUAUAGCGGGGUUGAGAAGCUGAUCCGCCACACUGGGACUGAGAUACGGCCCAGACUCCUACGGGAGGCAGCAGUAGGGAAUUUUCCACAAUGAGCGAAAGCUUGAUGGAGCGACACAGCGUGCAGGAUGAAGGUCUUCGGAUCGUAAACUGCUGUUAUAAGGGAAGAACAACUAGUAUAGGAAAUGAUAUUAGCCUGACGGUACCUUAUCAGAAAGCACCGGCAAACUAUGUGCCAGCA